This 74-nucleotide transfer RNA is filed under the name Loxodonta africana (African savanna elephant). It matches the Rfam family "tRNA". Rfam says of the family: Transfer RNA (tRNA) molecules are approximately 80 nucleotides in length. Their secondary structure includes four short double-helical elements and three loops (D, anti-codon, and T loops). Lineage: Eukaryota; Metazoa; Chordata; Mammalia; Proboscidea; Elephantidae. The record is from Rfam by way of RNAcentral.
GUCUCUGUAGGCACAAAAGGUCAAGCGCUUGGCUACUAACCAAAAGGUUGGAGGUUUGAGUCCACCCAAAGGCA